GGAGCUUGCUCCCUGAUGUUAGCGGCGGACGGGUGAGUAACACGUGGGUAACCUGCCUGUAAGACUGGGAUAACUCCGGGAAACCGGGGCUAAUACCGGAUGGUUGUUUGAACCGCAUGGUUCAGACAUAAAAGGUGGCUUCGGCUACCACUUACAGAUGGACCCGCGGCGCAUUAGCUAGUUGGUGAGGUAACGGCUCACCAAGGCGACGAUGCGUAGCCGACCUGAGAGGGUGAUCGGCCACACUGGGACUGAGACACGGCCCAGACUCCUACGGGAGGCAGCAGUAGGGAAUCUUCCGCAAUGGACGAAAGUCUGACGGAGCAACGCCGCGUGAGUGAUGAAGGUUUUCGGAUCGUAAAGCUCUGUUGUUAGGGAAGAACAAGUGCCGUUCAAAUAGGGCGGCACCUUGACGGUACCUAACCAGAAAGCCACGGCUAACUACGUGCCAGCAGCCGCGGUAAUACGUAGGUGGCAAGCGUUGUCCGGAAUUAUUGGGCGUAAAGGGCUCGCAGGCGGUUUCUUAAGUCUGAUGUGAAAGCCCCCGGCUCAACCGGGGAGGGUCAUUGGAAACUGGGGAACUUGAGUGCAGAAGAGGAGAGUGGAAUUCCACGUGUAGC
Molecule: ribosomal RNA, 620 nt
Filed under: Leucobacter aridicollis
Lineage: Bacteria; Bacillati; Actinomycetota; Actinomycetes; Micrococcales; Microbacteriaceae
Also listed under: 2 other names
Description: bacterial SSU rRNA
Rfam family: Bacterial small subunit ribosomal RNA
Source: RNAcentral